This 411-nucleotide ribosomal RNA is filed under the name Verrucomicrobiota bacterium. RNAcentral's name for it is "Verrucomicrobia bacterium partial 16S ribosomal RNA". It matches the Rfam family "Bacterial small subunit ribosomal RNA", at positions 355 to 776 of the family's 1533-position model. The record is from RNAcentral. Lineage: Bacteria; Pseudomonadati; Verrucomicrobiota.
UGGGGAAUCUUGCACAAUGGGCGAAAGCCUGAUGCAGCGACGCCGCGUGCGGGAUGAAGGCCUUCGGGUUGUAAACCGCUUUCAGCAGGGACGAGGCCGCAAGGUGACGGUACCUGCAGAAGAAGCCCCGGCUAACUUCGUGCCAGCAGCCGCGGUAAUACGAAGGGGGCUAGCGUUGUUCGGAUUUACUGGGCGUAAAGCGCACGUAGGCGGACUUUUAAGUCAGGGGUGAAAUCCCGGGGCUCAACCCCGGAACUGCCUUUGAUACUGGAAGUCUUGAGUAUGGUAGAGGUGAGUGGAAUUCCGAGUGUAGAGGUGAAAUUCGUAGAUAUUCGGAGGAACACCAGUGGCGAAGGCGGCUCACUGGACCAUUACUGACGCUGAGGUGCGAAAGCGUGGGGAGCAAACAGG